UACGUAGGGUGCGAGCGUUAAUCGGAAUUACUGGGCGUAAAGCGUGCGCAGGCGGUGAUGUAAGACAGAUGUGAAAUUCCCGGGCUCAACCUGGGAACUGCAUUUGUGACUGCAUCGCUGGAGUGCGGCAGAGGGGGAUGGAAUUCCGCGUGUAGCAGUGAAAUGCGUAGAUAUGCGGAGGAACACCGAUGGCGAAGGCAAUCCCCUGGGCCUGCACUGACGCUCAUGCACGAAAGCGUGGGGAGCAAACAGG
RNAcentral lists this ribosomal RNA (253 nucleotides) under uncultured bacterium. RNAcentral describes it as "partial 16S ribosomal RNA". It matches the Rfam family "Bacterial small subunit ribosomal RNA", at positions 524 to 776 of the family's 1533-position model. The record is from RNAcentral.